Molecule: small nuclear RNA, 115 nt
Organism: Nycticebus coucang (slow loris)
Lineage: Eukaryota; Metazoa; Chordata; Mammalia; Primates; Lorisidae
Product: U5 spliceosomal RNA
Exons: 1
Source: RefSeq, a predicted model, not a curated record
AUACUCUGGUUUCUCUUCAGAUUGUAUGAACCUUUCGCCUUUUAUUAAAGAUUUCUGUGGGGAAGAACGACGCUAGUCUUUGACCAACUUUUUUAGGCCUUGCAUUUGCAGGGCU